Molecule: ribosomal RNA, 468 nt
Filed under: uncultured bacterium
Lineage: Bacteria
Description: partial 16S ribosomal RNA
Rfam family: Bacterial small subunit ribosomal RNA
Source: RNAcentral
GACGAACGCUGGCGGCGUGCUUAACACAUGCAAGUCGAACGGAAAGGCCCUGCUUUUGUGGGGUGCUCGAGUGGCGAACGGGUGAGUAACACGUGAGUAACCUGCCCUUGACUUUGGGAUAACUUCAGGAAACUGGGGCUAAUACCGGAUAGGAGCUCCUGCUGCAUGGUGGGGGUUGGAAAGUUUCGGCGGUUGGGGAUGGACUCGCGGCUUAUCAGCUUGUUGGUGGGGUAGUGGCUUACCAAGGCUUUGACGGGUAGCCGGCCUGAGAGGGUGACCGGCCACAUUGGGACUGAGAUACGGCCCAGACUCCUACGGGAGGCAGCAGUGGGGAAUAUUGCACAAUGGGCGGAAGCCUGAUGCAGCAACGCCGCGUGCGGGAUGACGGCCUUCGGGUUGUAAACCGCUUUCGCCUGCGACGAAGCGUGAGUGACGGCAAUGGGUAAAGAAGCACCGGCUAACUACGUG